Molecule: ribosomal RNA, 485 nt
Filed under: uncultured bacterium
Lineage: Bacteria
Description: partial 16S ribosomal RNA
Rfam family: Bacterial small subunit ribosomal RNA
Source: RNAcentral
UGGGGAAUAUUGCACAAUGGGCGCAAGCCUGAUGCAGCAACGCCGCGUGAGGGACGACGGCCUUCGGGUUGUAAACCUCUUUUAGUAGGGAAGAAGCGAAAGUGACGGUACCCGCAGAAAAAGCACCGGCUAACUACGUGCCAGCAGCCGCGGUAAUACGUAGGGUGCAAGCGUUGUCCGGAAUUAUUGGGCGUAAAGAGCUCGUAGGCGGUUUGUCGCGUCUGCUGUGAAAAACCCGAGGCUCAACCUCGGGCCUGCAGUGGGUACGGGCAGACUAGAGUGCGGUAGGGGAGAAUGGAAUUCCUGGUGUAGCGGUGGAAUGCGCAGAUAUCAGGAGGAACACCGAUGGCGAAGGCAGUUCUCUGGGCCCGUAACUGACGCUGAGGAGCGAAAGCGUGGGGAGCGAACAGGAUUAGAUACCCUGGUAGUCCACGCCGUAAACGUUGGGCGCUAGAUGUGGGGCACCAUUCCACGGUUUCCGUGUC